Molecule: long non-coding RNA, 732 nt
Filed under: Mytilus galloprovincialis (Mediterranean mussel)
Lineage: Eukaryota; Metazoa; Mollusca; Bivalvia; Mytilida; Mytilidae
Source: RNAcentral
GGGAUGUUGCGUCAGAGUAUUCUACCACGUUGAUGGGUCCUUGUUGGUAUCUGUAUAUGAGUCUGGUGUCUAUUACUCUGUAUGGUCGUCUUUAAGGUGGGCGGGUUCCUCCUGCUGCAUACUGGAUAAUGUUGCAUUAUGUUAGUGCCUUUGUCUUCUUCAGUAGCUCAAUGAUCUCGUAGAUGUUUGGGUGGGCGUGUUUGAGUCGCUUCUUAUGUUUGUUGUGCCAUCCUUCCAGGUGAUUUGUGCAUGGUGCAGGGUCCUUCUGUGUAAUAGUGGUUCUAUAGAAAGCGGUAGUUUUCAACCCAAAACCCUGUCACGUAAUCUGUAAAUCAAGUUGUAGCGGGUAUGUUUUCAGUUUCUCCAAUGUCUUCUAAAGUGUUUAGCUAAACAUCGUCAACAAGGUGGGUGGAACAAGAGGUACCAGUAGUACUGCAGCUCGUCGUAUCAGUUAAGUAAUGUCUUCAUUUUCUUUAUAAUAGGACUGUAGUCCAUAUUUCUGUGCCUUUCGCCAUAUACACUGGGUGAAGUGGAAGAAGCAGCCUUUCACGGUUACCCCUGGACAUACUGUCUGUGUUGCGUUGUUGGUUGCUGUCUCGUAGUCAAUAGAUAGUGUUUCUGGUUGAAGUUGUAACUGGUGUUGUUGAUCAAUGGCUACUGAACAGUUGCAUUUAUAUUCUAGUUGUUAAAUUUAAUUGGAUAAUUUUAUAUUUUACAAAAUUUUGAAACAGC